RNAcentral lists this transfer RNA (73 nucleotides) under Candidatus Woesearchaeota archaeon. Its description in RNAcentral is "tRNA-Gln". It matches the Rfam family "tRNA". Rfam says of the family: Transfer RNA (tRNA) molecules are approximately 80 nucleotides in length. Lineage: Archaea; Nanobdellati; Candidatus Woesearchaeota. The record is from RNAcentral.
AGCCCCGUCGUCUAGCGGCCAAGGAUAGUGGCCUUUGGAGCCAUUGACGGCAGUUCGAAUCUGCCCGGGGCUA